AUAUAAAUAAUUGGAUUUCAUCCAAUUACUCAACAUGGGUUAUGUACUUUUCAAAAACUUGGCCCUUGCCAAAAAUCCAUUAUCGGGGAUACCCCACGAAGGCAUCUUAUUGAGACCGCCAAGGCUGUUUAUUGUCACACACACAAACACAUUUCACCUCUGACAACACAGCCGUUCCUCGGCGUUGGCUGAGUCCCAGUUUCACGUGGUGGCCAGCGUGAAGUGUACUCAAAUCCUACCUCGGGAGUUAUCCUACGCGCCUCUCCAAUCAAGGUAAGCUCAAUAAUUGGGAACCGUGCCCCUCUAAUUAGGCUGGCCCAUGGAACCCCCGUCACUGCAAUGCCCACUUUAUAAUCCACAAACCAAUAAAAUCACAAUAGUAUGACAUGACUCACUUAACACAUUCAAGGCAAAUCAAAACAGUUCACAUAUUCUUUAAAUCAUAAAAAUAACCAGUCAUACCCACAUUUAUCAUAAGCCAUUUAAUGUAAAAUCAUGGAUAAACAACACAAUCAUAGUAUAGGUCUCCAAUUACUCUAUUUUCAAAAUCAGCAUUCGAUUUUUCAGAAAAUUUAUAAAAUCAAUUUAUAAAAUCACAAUUUCUCCUAAAA
RNAcentral lists this long non-coding RNA (611 nucleotides) under Theobroma cacao (cacao). Its description in RNAcentral is "long non-coding RNA (TCAC_LNC004461)". The record is from RNAcentral. Lineage: Eukaryota; Viridiplantae; Streptophyta; Magnoliopsida; Malvales; Malvaceae.